Drosophila yakuba is the source of this 4022-nucleotide long non-coding RNA. RefSeq lists it as uncharacterized. The transcript is spliced from 2 exons. The record is from RefSeq and is a predicted model, not a curated record. NCBI's taxonomy places the organism in Eukaryota, Metazoa, Arthropoda, Insecta, Diptera, Drosophilidae.
GUCGUGACUCAUGGGCUGGCAAGCCAUUAAUCUUAUCAUUGAUAAGGCCAAGGGCAGAUAUUUUCCUUAUAUAAAGACAGCACACACACACGCACACAACGUGACCAUUAAUGUACACAAGUGUGGAACAGGUUAAAUAGAUCUGACAUGGAACCCCCGUUUUGCAUAUGUCCAUGGGCAUGUGUACAUGUGUAUAUAGUGUGGGAAAUAUCCCAGCCAACUGCAAAUAAGCAGCAAGGUGGAGAUAACAAGCACUGCAUUCAUCACGAAUUACCAGGAAUUCGAAGGGGGUCAAAACUGCAACCCUUUGAGAAUCGCUGGAGGUAAAGCGACUCCUGGGGAGUCUUCCCAGCCGUAUCUUAUGUUUCACCUGGGCACUUGUAUCACCUGUUAAAUCAAUAAGCUGGCGGGACUCAAACAUUUGCUAUAUGAUAACUCGUAUCUUUCUUUUAUAUUAUUUGAAAAGCGAUAUAUGUAAUUAGCUGGUUCAGAAGCUCUAUGUUCUCAUUUAGGGAGUGCAGUUCGUAGGGGAACCCAUUUGGAACUUGGAGCUCGGAACCAUGACGGCUGAACGCAUCGAAACUAAUUGCUGGCCAUGACUGAUGUGCUGAUCUGUUCCGGCGGCUUUCUUCUCCUCCGCCGGAGGCAGUCGGCAGAAGUCUGCGGUUGAUUAAAUAGACGGCGGAACAUCCCAACCACAUCCCAAGCAGGAAUGGCUGAAAGCAGCCGCUUGCAGUGCAUAACACGAGUAUGGAUAGUAUAGAUAUAUGUGCAUAUAUAUGGAUAAAUAUGCCUUUUGGAUUCUUUGUUUUUCCACAGCUCAGUCUGCAGUUGUGGCCUCUUCGUUUUUGGGCUGUUUCCGAAAUAGAAAUUUUUGAUAAGGUUUAUGAGUGCCGUUUUAAAAUAGUGACGUAUGUCUGCGCUAUAAUGGUAUCAGCCAUUAUCGUGCACUAAAUUGUUUAUAGCAUUCUCCUAAUGUUUCUAAUAUUGGGAGAACUAAUCAGGAAAUUUGAAUUUUGAGAACUAGAGUGUAAAGUUGCUUUCUAAUCUCAGCAAAAAACGUAUGAGCUUCAUUUCGAAGUAGUUUCAAAUGUGGCGAGUGAUAAGAAGAAACAUAGAAAUGAUGUAUAAAUUAUAUAUGUUCUUUCCACUGUUUAUUUUGAAUUUAAAACCAAUACCACUUGAUAUACACGAUCGCUUUGCCAAGCCAAUCUACCAAGUUACCAACACAGCGAAAUUGCGAAUAUAGUAUAUACACAAAUUCAAGAAUGAAUAUUUAUUUGUGCGGUGACGCCACCGAAAUUUUUCACAGUCGGCGGUCCAGUUGGAAUGACAGACGACCUGAUAAUACAAACGCAGAUACAGAUACACCGGCUCAGCCACAGAUACAGAUACAGCUACAGAUACGGGGAUACAUGUGUAUUGUGUUCGACAGAGAGCGAGCGGGCUUUCGUCACCAACUUGGACUUCCGUCCUACAAUUUGUUUAAAGUUCGUGUACGUGCCUGGCCAGUUUUAAUUAAUUUCAUUAUGUUUCGCUGACUGUCUGCCUUGUUUAUUAUGCAAUCACACACAUUUUUCCACAAUUUGCAUAUUGAUUUUGGCGUUUUGUUUAUUGGCUUUUCAGCGCUUUUUCCCCGCUCCAUUAGCGACCGCCCGUUAAUUGACAAACAAAACCAGCGAAAUUACAUUUUCAUGCAACAGAGAGCCGGCAAAACGGCGACGGCAACGGCGACUUUGCCUCAUCCUCAUCCAAGUUAGUACAAUAAAAGUUUGAGCGCACAUUUUCAGUGCUUUUUUUAUUGUAAUUGCGCAGAGCGAUUUUAGUGACGAUGAUGUCAUAUGGUCGGCAAUGUGGAGCUGCGGAGUUGUGCGACUGCCAGUAUUUGCCACAACAGUGGACCGCAAACAAACUGGUUGGGCUGCUCGCAUUUGAAAUACAAACAAACAAUCCGAAAAUUGGGUACGAAAACAUAUACUACUAUACCCCAGAGUAUAUAAUAAAAAACCCGUCCGACUGCGGCUGCCAGGGGGCAAGUCCAAGGUUACAGUCGCACUCGCGAACCAGACCCCAUCGAUUCGAUGUGGAGGGGUCAAGCUGCAGGGCAGCGAAAAUAUUUUAAUUAAUUUCAGCCGCGCCCAAAAAGCCACAACGACCCUAACCUUAAACGAGCAGAUCGCAGCUAAACCUUAAAGCAAAAAGAGGGCAAUAAACCUGCACGCAGAAAAACCUUUCGAAACUGCGGUGUAUUGGAAAAUGUUUAUGUUUUCAAUGUACUAUUACUGUACAAUGUACAUUACUGUAUUACAUUACAUUUUAUGUAUUUUAUGUGAGGAACAUAUCUUCUGUACACCUAACGCAUAAACAUUAUUUUUCCGGUGCACGGAAAAUCGAAUCGGAAAAGUGGCGUGAAAUGAAGGCAAGCGGAGGGAGAAGCGACCUUCGUCACUAGCACGACAUGCAGCACCCAGGCGGAGCAAGUGCGUCAAAUCCUUGACUGACUGCGCGCAGGAUAAUGUCGAGGACAAUGCAGGUCAAGGCGACGGGCGGAAGCAGGUGAAACGCCACUAAAUGGCAGCUGGCUGGCAGACAAUAAAUAAGAACGAAAGCAAACAUCGCUCUCUUGUGCAUUCGCAUUCCACGCCCACAUUUCACCCACGACGAAUGGUUCUGUUUGUACGCACAAACAUUUCUAGUUUGGAGGAGCAACAACAUAAUAUACACAAGCGAUUCCGAUUUGGCAAGGCAAAUCAACAGUGGCGGCCACCUAAAUAGGGAGCAUGCCUGUGUACCUAAGUGGCUUAGUCCCGAAUGUAAACAUUGAUUUAUUAAAUACGUUCACGAGUGGAAAACUUAUAUUUGUUUGGCAAAACAACUUGUUUAGUAAAUAUUAAACACACUCUUCAUUUGCAAUGUAUCUGAGAUCUGUGGUUGGAAUUUCUUGGCCGCUGGUGUUCACAAAUACGCGUUGGUUUCUUUCACGAAUUACGAAUUACUCAUCCAAUUCAAAAUGCUUGGCAAGUGUUUUUUUUUUCGUUUUUUUAUGCUGUGCUACCUGACGCACAUGUAUUUAUAUUUAAGCACACCAAAAGUUUAGAGUUUUCGGUGCUUCGGUCGAUUUGAAAGUACUUCCUGUAUGCUUAUUAGACGAAAAGUGAAAAGAGCACCCCACACACACACACACACACACACAAGCACAAGUGCAGCUGAUGACGCUGCAGCUACGAAAAUAGCAUUCAAUUAGACAAGUGAAGGGGUUGGGGGCUGUAGAGGGGGAAAAUAAGGAAAAUGAGUGAAGGGGGAGGGGGAUUGGAGCACGACACAAGAGGAGAUGCCACUUUCUAUGCAAGUGCUCUGACCUAUAUAACCCCGCCUGGGAAACGCCAACGAAACACCAAUGGAACACCAUGAGAUGCACGGCGGAGACGAACAAAUCAACGGCGAAAUAAAUGAGAAAAAUUCCACUAAAUGAAUGAGGGGCUGGUGGGUGGCUAGUGGACGGGGAUUGGGAACUUGGGGCUGGGGACUUGGGGCAAUGGGAAAUGGGACUCGUCGUUCGCCCCUUUCGCUUUCAUUUGAGCACGGGCACAGCGGCAUCGCAGUGAAACGAAAAAGGAAACCCAGUGGAAGUCAAUGCUCUUGUCAUGAGUUCAUGUCGAGCAGUUGCUGCCGCCUUUGCCGGAGACGGAGAUUCGGAUGGCUAUUGUUAAGCCUUUUGCGGCGGGCGACUCCACGUUAUGGGGUCCACAUCGACGACCACUUCCACGUCCCCGUCCACAUCCACAUACACUGCCAUAUCCAUAUCCACAUCCCCAUCCUCAACAAGUCCAAGUCAAUUAGGCAUUUUAGGCACGCAUGCAACUACUUGUAGACGGGAUGAAUAAUGCACUCGGAGAAAUGGCCAUUCCAGUAUCCAUUCCAGUAGUGCAAACAUAUUCCAUCCAAAAAGGAAUGUGUAUUCCAUAGAUGGUAGAUUCGUUGCAAUAUGAGGAAAAUAUAUUGUCAAUCUAAAUAUAUCCUAA